GCCUACGGGGGGCAGCAGUGGGGGAUAUUGCACAAUGGGGGGAACCCUGAUGCAGCGACGCCGCGUGGGUGAAGAAGCGCCUCGGCGCGUAAAGCCCUGUCAGCAGGGAAGAAAAUGACGGUACCUGAAGAAGAAGCCCCGGCUAACUACGUGCCAGCAGCCGCGGUAAUACGUAGGGGGCAAGCGUUAUCCGGAUUUACUGGGUGUAAAGGGGGCGCAGACGGCGAUGCAAGCCAGGAGUGAAAGCCCGGGGCCCAACCCCGGGACUGCUCUUGGAACUCCGUGGCGGGAGUGCAGGAGGGGCA
RNAcentral lists this ribosomal RNA (305 nucleotides) under uncultured bacterium. Its description in RNAcentral is "partial 16S ribosomal RNA". It matches the Rfam family "Bacterial small subunit ribosomal RNA", at positions 337 to 659 of the family's 1533-position model. The record is from RNAcentral.